Molecule: ribosomal RNA, 692 nt
Filed under: Microbacterium sp. K454
Lineage: Bacteria; Bacillati; Actinomycetota; Actinomycetes; Micrococcales; Microbacteriaceae
Description: bacterial SSU rRNA
Rfam family: Bacterial small subunit ribosomal RNA
Source: RNAcentral
ACCACAUGCAGGUCGAACGAUGAAGCCUAGCUUGCUGGGUGGAUUAGUGGCGAACGGGUGAGUAACACGUGAGCAACCUGCCCCUGACUCUGGGAUAAGCGCUGGAAACGGCGUCUAAUACUGGAUACGAGUAGCGAUCGCAUGGUCAGUUACUGGAAAGAUUUUUUGGUUGGGGAUGGGCUCGCGGUCUAUCAGCUUGUUGGUGAGGUAAUGGCUCACCAAGGCGUCGACGGGUAGCCGGCCUGAGAGGGUGACCGGCCACACUGGGACUGAGACACGGCCCAGACUCCUACGGGAGGCAGCAGUGGGGAAUAUUGCACAAUGGGCGGAAGCCUGAUGCAGCAACGCCGCGUGAGGGAUGACGGCCUUCGGGUUGUAAACCUCUUUUAGCAGGGAAGAAGCGAGAGUGACGGUACCUGCAGAAAAAGCGCCGGCUAACUACGUGCCAGCAGCCGCGGUAAUACGUAGGGCGCAAGCGUUAUCCGGAAUUAUUGGGCGUAAAGAGCUCGUAGGCGGUUUGUCGCGUCUGCUGUGAAAUCCCGAGGCUCAACCUCGGGCCUGCAGUGGGUACGGGCAGACUAGAGUGCGGUAGGGGAGAUUGGAAUUCCUGGUGUAGCGGUGGAAUGCGCAGAUAUCAGGAGGAACACCGAUGGCGAAGGCAGAUCUCUGGGCCGUAACUGACGCUGAGGAGC